GAAACCUGCAACGCAGAACGACCCGAGGACCCAUACACUACCGGGGGCGGGGGGGCCGUCGCACGCCUCCCUCCCCCCAGGCCACGGCGUUCCCCGGGCGUCGGCUCGGGGUGCCCCGCGGCCGCAACAACGAACCCCGGCGCGGCACGCGCCAAGGAACUCACAACGAACUUAGCACGCCGGCCGCCGACUCGUGCGGCGGCCGUGCCUGYGAACAGUCGAUACCUAAACGACUCCCGGCAACGGAUAUCUCCUCUCGCAUCGAUGAAGAACGUAGCGAAAUGCGAUACUUGGUGUGAAUUGCAGAAUCCCGUGAACCAUCGAGUUUUUGAACGCAAGUUGCGCCCGAAGCCGCUCGGCCGAGGGCACGCCUGCCUGGGCGUCACGUAUCGCGUCGCUCCCUCAACGCACUCCCCCUCUCGGCGGAUGCGCUGCGGGAGCGGAGACUGGCCUCCCGUGCCCCGGCACGGCUGGCCCAAAUGCGAGCCCCGGGGUGACCGAAGCGUCACGACAAGCGGUGGUUGGUAGUACCUCGGCCCUUGUUGCGUCGUGCCCGCAUGCACCCCCGCUCAGCUCCCCCGCCGCACGGCGAUUGCCUCGCGACC
This 605-nucleotide ribosomal RNA is filed under the name Myriophyllum muricatum. RNAcentral's name for it is "eukaryotic LSU rRNA". The stretch from base 232 to 385 matches the Rfam family "5.8S ribosomal RNA". Lineage: Eukaryota; Viridiplantae; Streptophyta; Magnoliopsida; Saxifragales; Haloragaceae. The record is from RNAcentral.